GAUGAAGAACGUAGCGAAAUGCGAUAAGUAAUGUGAAUUGCAGAAUUCAGUGAAUCAUCGAAUCUUUGAACGCACAUUGCGCCCCCUGGUAUUCCGGGGGGCAUGCCUGUUCGAGCGUCAUUUCACCACUCAAGCCUCGCUUGGUAUUGGGCAACGCGGUCCGCCGCGUGCCUCAAAUCGACCGGCUGGGUCUUCUGUCCCCUAAGCGUUGUGGAAACUAUUCGCUAAAGGGUGCUCGGGAGGCUACGCCGUAAAACAACCCCAUUUCUAAGGUUGACCUCGGAUCAGGUAGGGAUACCCGCUGAACUUAAGCAUAUCAAUAAGCGGAGGA
RNAcentral lists this unclassified non-coding RNA (331 nucleotides) under soil metagenome. RNAcentral describes it as "partial contains 5.8S ribosomal RNA, internal transcribed spacer 2, and large subunit ribosomal RNA". The stretch from base 1 to 120 matches the Rfam family "5.8S ribosomal RNA", at positions 35 to 154 of the family's 154-position model. The record is from RNAcentral.